Molecule: ribosomal RNA, 254 nt
Filed under: uncultured bacterium
Lineage: Bacteria
Description: partial 16S ribosomal RNA
Rfam family: Bacterial small subunit ribosomal RNA
Source: RNAcentral
UACGUAGGGUGCUACCGUUGUUCGGAAUCACUGGGCAUAAAGAGCGCGUAGGCGGUCUGAUAAGUCAGGUGUGAAAUCCCCCGGCUCAACCGGGGAACUGCACCUGAUACUGUUGGGCUUGAGUGCAAGAGGGGAGAGCGGAAUUCCUGGUGGAGCGGUGAAAUGCGUAGAUAUCAGGAGGAACGCCGGCGGCGAAAGCGGCUCUCUGGCCUGUCUACUGACGCUGAGGCGCGAAAGCUAGGGGAGCAAACGGG